This is a transfer RNA of Vitis vinifera (wine grape), 71 nucleotides long. It matches the Rfam family "tRNA". From Rfam's summary of the family: Transfer RNA (tRNA) molecules are approximately 80 nucleotides in length. Their secondary structure includes four short double-helical elements and three loops (D, anti-codon, and T loops). Further hydrogen bonds mediate the characteristic L-shaped molecular structure. tRNAs have two regions of fundamental functional importance: the anti-codon, which is responsible for specific mRNA codon recognition, and the 3' end, to which the tRNAs corresponding amino acid is attached (by aminoacyl-tRNA synthetases). tRNAs cope with the degeneracy of the genetic code in two manners: having more than one tRNA (with a specific anti-codon) for a particular amino acid; and 'wobble' base-pairing, i.e. permitting non-standard base-pairing at the 3rd anti-codon position. The record is from Rfam. Lineage: Eukaryota; Viridiplantae; Streptophyta; Magnoliopsida; Vitales; Vitaceae.
GCAUUAGUGGUCUAGUGGUAAAAUAGUACCCUGCCAUGGUUCAUAACUAGGUUUAAUUCCCUGUCAGUGCA